UGAUUGAGUUUGAUCCUGGUUCAGGAUGAACGCUAGCGGCAGGCUUAAUACAUGCAAGUCGUGGGGCAGCGCAGGUAGCAAUACUAGGGCGGCGACCGGCAAACGGGUGCGGAACACGUACACAACCUUCCGAGAAGUGGGGAAUAGCCCAGAGAAAUUUGGAUUAAUACCCCGUAACAUAACGAUGUGGCAUCACAUUGUUAUUAUAGCUUCGGCGCUUCUUGAUGGGUGUGCGGCUGAUUAGAUAGUUGGCGGGGUAACGGCCCACCAAGUCUACGAUCAGUAGCUGAUGUGAGAGCAUGAUCAGCCACACGGGCACUGAGACACGGGCCCGACUCCUACGGGAGGCAGCAGUAAGGAAUAUUGGUCAAUGGACGCAAGUCUGAACCAGCCAUGCCGCGUGAAGGAUUAAGGUCCUCUGGAUUGUAAACUUCUUUUAUCUGGGACGAAAAAAGGCGAUUCUUCGUCACUUGACGGUACCAGAUGAAUAAGCACCGGCUAACUCCGUGCCAGCAGCCGCGGUAAUACGGAGGGUGCAAGCGUUAUCCGGAUUCACUGGGUUUAAAGGGUGCGUAGGCGGGCAGGUAAGUCAGUGGUGAAAUCCUAGAGCUUAA
This 614-nucleotide ribosomal RNA is filed under the name uncultured Bacteroidota bacterium. RNAcentral's name for it is "bacterial SSU rRNA". It matches the Rfam family "Bacterial small subunit ribosomal RNA", at positions 1 to 612 of the family's 1533-position model. Lineage: Bacteria; Pseudomonadati; Bacteroidota. The record is from RNAcentral.